RNAcentral lists this long non-coding RNA (336 nucleotides) under Elaeis guineensis (African oil palm). Its description in RNAcentral is "long non-coding RNA (EGUI_LNC056121)". Lineage: Eukaryota; Viridiplantae; Streptophyta; Magnoliopsida; Arecales; Arecaceae. The record is from RNAcentral.
UAACCCCAGCCGAAGUUCGUAAGAGGCCGACCCUCUCAGGGCUCUUCCGGCUUCCGACCUUGCAUAGCGUCUCUCUAAACCUCCCCGACCGUUCGAACUCCUAUCGUGCCAUCUGGACUUCUCCAAUCAAUGAGCUCCUCCAAUCAUCUACCGGACUGCUCCAAACACUCUCUGAGCUUCUCUUUCAGCCGAUUCUCUACAGUGAUCGACUACUCUCCAAAUCUCUUCCAGACUUCUCCCAGCCACGAUCGACUUUGCUCCGAACUCCUUUCGAGCUUCGUCGAUGUCCGAACUUCUCCAACAACAGAGCUUCUGCAGUAGCCAGACUCCAUCCAA